UACGAAGGGGGCGAGCGUUGUUCGGAGUUACUGGGCGUAAAGGGUGUGUAGGCGGUUGUUUAAGUUUGGUGUGAAAUCUCCCGGCUCAACUGGGAGGGUGCGCCGAAUACUGAAUGACUCGAGUGUGGGAGAGGUGAGUGGAAUUCCUGGUGUAGCGGUGAAAUGCGUAGAUAUCAGGAGGAACACCGGUGGUGUAGACGGCUCACUGGACCAUAACUGACGCUGAGGCGCGAAAGCUAGGGGAGCAAACAGG
RNAcentral lists this ribosomal RNA (253 nucleotides) under uncultured bacterium. Its description in RNAcentral is "partial 16S ribosomal RNA". It matches the Rfam family "Bacterial small subunit ribosomal RNA", at positions 524 to 776 of the family's 1533-position model. The record is from RNAcentral.